CCAAUAGCGUAUAUUAAAGUUGUUGCAGUUAAAAAGCUCGUAGUUGAAUUUCGGGAUUGGCGCAUCGGUCGUGCCUCACGGGGUAUGAACUGGUGCAGUCAAUUUCUCACCUUCUGGAGAACCGCGAUGUCCUUAAUUGGAUGCCGCGGGGAACCAGGACCUUUACUUUGAAAAAAUUAGAGUGUUUAAAGCAGGCAUUUUUGCUUGAAUACAUUAGCAUGGAAUAAUAAAAUAGGACGGCAUGGUUCUAUUUUGUUGGUUUCUAGGACCACCGUAAUGAUUAAUAGGGAUAGUUGGGGGCAUUAGUAUUCAAUUGUCAGAGGUGAAAUUCUUGGAUUUAUUGAAGACUAACUAUUGCGAAAGCAUUUGCCAAGGAUGUUUUCAUUAAUCAAGAACGAAAGUUAGGGGAUCGAAGACGAUCAGAUACCGUCGUAGUCUUAACCAUAAACUAUGCCGACUAGGAAUCAGACGAUGUUAAUUUUUUAAUGACUCGUUUGGCACCUUACG
Molecule: ribosomal RNA, 507 nt
Filed under: uncultured Glomeromycotina
Lineage: Eukaryota; Fungi; Glomeromycota
Description: partial small subunit ribosomal RNA
Rfam family: Eukaryotic small subunit ribosomal RNA
Source: RNAcentral